This 496-nucleotide ribosomal RNA is filed under the name uncultured bacterium. Its description in RNAcentral is "partial 16S ribosomal RNA". It matches the Rfam family "Bacterial small subunit ribosomal RNA", at positions 28 to 506 of the family's 1533-position model. The record is from RNAcentral.
GAUGAACGCUGGCGGCGUGCCUAAUACAUGCAAGUCGAGCGAACAGACGAGGAGCUUGCUCCUCUGACGUUAGCGGCGGACGGGUGAGUAACACGUGGAUAACCUACCUAUAAGACUGGGAUAACUUCGGGAAACCGGAGCUAAUACCGGAUAAUAUAUUGAACCGCAUGGUUCAAUAGUGAAAGACGGUUUUGCUGUCACUUAUAGAUGGAUCCGCGCCGCAUUAGCUAGUUGGUAAGGUAACGGCUUACCAAGGCAACGAUGCGUAGCCGACCUGGGAGGGGGAUCGGCCACACGGGAACGGAACAACGGUCCAGCUUCCAACGGGAGGCAGCGGUGGGGAAUCUUCCGCAUUGGGCGAAAGCCUGACGGAGCAACGCCGCGUGAGUGAUGAGGGUCUUCGGAUCGUAAAACUCUGUUAUUAGGGAAGAACAAAUGUGUAAGUAACCAUGCACGUCUUGACGGUACCAAAGCAGAAAGCCCCGGCUAACUCCGU